Molecule: long non-coding RNA, 217 nt
Filed under: Mytilus galloprovincialis (Mediterranean mussel)
Lineage: Eukaryota; Metazoa; Mollusca; Bivalvia; Mytilida; Mytilidae
Source: RNAcentral
AUUUGAACUUAUUAAUACAUUUUUUCAUAUUAUUGUAAUUUUAUGUGUAUGUACCCGAUAUGGAGUUCUUCUGAAAUUAAAAAUCACUUGAAUGGGUAUUUCUGGUGUAUAUACAUGUAUCACACUUGCUAUCUACAUGUACAAUAUACGGAAAUGACACGGCUGGGUAUUUUAAAGUUACUGAAGGUAGAUUACUGGCAGGUGUAUAUCCCCGGGC